RNAcentral lists this ribosomal RNA (468 nucleotides) under uncultured bacterium. Its description in RNAcentral is "partial 16S ribosomal RNA". It matches the Rfam family "Bacterial small subunit ribosomal RNA", at positions 28 to 507 of the family's 1533-position model. The record is from RNAcentral.
GACGAACGCUGGCGGCGUGCUUAACACAUGCAAGUCGAACGGAAAGGCCCUGCUUUUGUGGGGUGCUCGGGUGGCGAACGGGUGAGUAACACGUGAGUAACCUGCCCUUGACUUUGGGAUAACUUCAGGAAACUGGGGCUAAUACCGGAUAGGAGCUCCUGCUGCAUGGUGGGGGUUGGAAAGUUUCGGCGGUUGGGGAUGGACUCGCGGCUUAUCAGCUUGUUGGUGGGGUAGUGGCUUACCAAGGCUUUGACGGGUAGCCGGCCUGAGAGGGUGACCGGCAACGUUGGGAAUGGGAUCCGCCCCAGCCUCCUACGGGGGGCAGCAGGGGGGAAUUUUGCAAAGGGGGGGGAAGCCUAAUGCAGCACCGCCGGGUGGGGGAUGACGGCUUUCGGGUUGUAACCCGCUUUCGCCUGGGACGAAGCGGGAGGGACGGUAAUGGGAAAAGAAGCACCGGCUAACUACGUG